AUGGCUUCGGAGAACCAGGCUGAAGUGACCGGAAAUCCCGCUAGUCCCUUUUGGUCUCAGGGAACCGCGUCGUCUGGAACCGGGUGAGGAAGACCCCGCUGUGUGUUCGGGGACCUGAAAACUCCCCGGAGCCGCAGCCUCCACGCCGGGCGGCCUGGGAAAGUCAGCAGCGCAGUGGGGGAACCGCAGCCCGGGGCCUUGGAACCUCCCAGGAUUUGUUGACAUUUAGUGCUGUGAAUGUGAACUUCUUGUAGGAGUGGAAAUGCCUAGACCCUCCCUGCUCACGGGACUUUUAGCUGAGAUCUCCUGUUAAAGAGCUGCAGCAGUUGGGAUUCUGAGGCCUCACAUUGUUCAGUCAGUCCUGCUCACCUGGGAAUCAAAAC
Long non-coding RNA from Microtus oregoni (creeping vole), 383 nucleotides. RefSeq lists it as uncharacterized. The record is from RefSeq and is a predicted model, not a curated record. Lineage: Eukaryota; Metazoa; Chordata; Mammalia; Rodentia; Cricetidae. The transcript is spliced from 3 exons.